This 182-nucleotide long non-coding RNA is filed under the name Coturnix japonica (Japanese quail). RNAcentral describes it as "lncRNA (ENSCJPG00005014278.1)". Lineage: Eukaryota; Metazoa; Chordata; Aves; Galliformes; Phasianidae. The record is from RNAcentral.
UUCCUUGUUUGGGCUUAAAUAUGUUCCCUGCCUAAAAUGUGGCUCCCAGGAGGCUGUAUUAGCUCUCAAACGGCUCGCUGCAAUGCAUCUCUCCACUGUGUUUCCUUGCAGGCCGUAUCUGUGUGACAUCAAUUGUGCUGGGAGCAGCGCUUUCAUAGACUGCCACAUCUCCGUGCAGGCAU